RNAcentral lists this transfer-messenger RNA (382 nucleotides) under Methylacidimicrobium cyclopophantes. Its description in RNAcentral is "transfer-messenger RNA, SsrA". It matches the Rfam family "transfer-messenger RNA". Rfam says of the family: Bacterial tmRNA, also known as 10Sa RNA or SsrA, is named for its dual tRNA and mRNA-like properties. Its role is to liberate the mRNA from a stalled ribosome. The record is from RNAcentral. Lineage: Bacteria; Pseudomonadati; Verrucomicrobiota.
GGGGGCGCAAACGGCAAUCGAUUCCCGUGCAUCCCCGUUCGCGGCAAGUCGAGGGCUUGGGGUAGGUUGGCCUCGUAAAAAAACCUGCUCGAAGAAAAUAACUGCCGACGCUGAGUUGGCUCUUGCUGCUUAAGCGAAUCGCUGAGCAGUAGGCGUUUGUUUCGUUUCGCGCCGGCGCGAACGAGACAGGCGUGUUUAAUCGCCGGACGAUGCAUUCAUGGUUAUGAGCUCCAUGAAUGAGUCGCACAAAAAAGCUCGGCGUAUCGUCUGCAUCGCAGGCGGCUUGGCCAGCAGACAUGCGCGUUUGUCAAUCAAGCCGCUAAACUUGUAGAAACGAGCGAGGUUCCACGAGAAGACGAGGGUUCGACUCCCUCCGCCUCCA